This 328-nucleotide ribosomal RNA is filed under the name uncultured eukaryote. RNAcentral describes it as "partial 18S ribosomal RNA". It matches the Rfam family "Eukaryotic small subunit ribosomal RNA", at positions 1470 to 1796 of the family's 1831-position model. The record is from RNAcentral.
CCCUUAGAUGUUCUGGGCCGCACGCGCGCUACACUGAUGCAUUCAACGAGUCUAAAACCUGGUCUGAUAGGGCUGGGUAAUCUUUUGAAAGUGCAUCGUGAUUGGGAUAGAUGAUUGCAAUUCUUCAUCUUCAACGAGGAAUGCCUAGUAAACGCAAGUCAUCAGCUUGCAUUGAUUACGUCCCUGCCCUUUGUACACACCGCCCGUCGCUCCUACCGAUUGAGUGGUCCGGUGAGGCUUUGGGAUCUGAGCGGAAAGAGCGUUUCGCUCGUUCUGCCCGGAAAACUCAGUCGAACCUUAUCAUUUAGAGGAAGGAGAAGUCGUAACA